Molecule: ribosomal RNA, 403 nt
Filed under: uncultured bacterium
Lineage: Bacteria
Description: partial 16S ribosomal RNA
Rfam family: Bacterial small subunit ribosomal RNA
Source: RNAcentral
AUUGAACGCUGGCGGCAGGCCUAACACAUGCAAGUCGAGCGAGCGGCGGACGGGUGAGUAAUGUAUGGGGACUGCCCGAUAGAGGGGGAUAACUACUGGAAACGGUAGCUAAUACAGCAUACUAUCGGAUAACCCAUAUGGGAUUAGCUAGUAGGUGGGGUAAUGGCUCACCUAGGCGACGAUCCCUAGCGGGUCUGAGAGGAUGAUCAGCACAUCUGGAACGUAGACACGGCCCCGACUCCAACGGAGGCAGCAGUGGGGAAUAUUGCACAAGGGGCGCAAGCCGGAUGCAGCCAUGCCGCGUGUAUGAAGAAGGCCUUAGGGUUGUAAAGUACUUUCAGUGGGGAGGCUUUACUCACAGAAGAAGCACCGGCUAACUCCGUGCCAGCAGCCGCGGUAAUUC